Molecule: non-coding RNA, 5806 nt
Organism: Vicugna pacos (alpaca)
Lineage: Eukaryota; Metazoa; Chordata; Mammalia; Artiodactyla; Camelidae
Source: RefSeq, a predicted model, not a curated record
UGAAGCUGUGAGUAGCAACUGGUCAGUCAGGUCAGUUGACUGUUUUAAAGGCAAGCAUAAGAAUAAGCAACCUGUUAGCCCAAGUGCGGCCAUUUUAUUAAUCCUCCUUCACAACCUCAUUAAAGUGAACGCAAUCCUGACCAAGUUGUGGGUUGGAGGCUCACGUGGUGGGAUCUGGGCAGGCAAUGUAAAAGGUCACGACUGUGGAGGCACUCGGUUAGAGGCUGGGGGCUUUGGGGGGCUUGUUUGUUCUGGUCUUGUUGGCCCAUGUCUUUCCACGUCUGAUUGUCUUAAUUGUUAAGAACUGGCCGUUGGGGAUUGAGUUUAUUGGUGCGUGUAGCAAGGACCUGCAGAGAGAUUUCAUUGCUACAGCUUUCAGGAGUCAAAGCUCCUUCAAAAUGGGAAAUGCUAAUUCAGUUCCCCCUCGUAGCCCUCCUGGCUGCAUUGUCCAAACUGGGUGCCUUUCAGUUAUAAGUCCAUGGAAAAGAAAGAAACAAGUGUUAUUUUUUUAUUUCUUAUUUUUGUAACACUGCAUGGCCAGGAGAUCUUUUAGACUCUGGAGCAAAAUAGCCUAAAAAUGAAUCCUUAAGUUGCAAUCCAAUCUUGCAAGUAGAUUUAUUUUAUAAACUAGAAGAAAAAUGGGAUGAAAUACCUUUUGUACAAUCUUUUGUGUUAUUGUGUCAGAAUAAACCUGUGCAAAGAAAAUGUAAGAUUAUGGCCCAGCAGGAAGGGAAGGCAAAGAAACCUGUUUUACUUGAUUCUAAUAAAAAGGAGGCCUUGCUGUUAAUUCAGUCUCAGGCUCUGCUCCUCCCCCACCCCCACAGCCAACACCUGAGCCACAGCCUCAGGCUCAUCGCCAAACCCUUCCCCCAACCCCACCCGCCGCCAGUCUCUGAGGGUCGAGAAAUAGGAGACAGAGGUGGUCUCCCCCUCUCAUACCGGCCGGGGAGCUACCCAAACUCAGGUGGGGCAGUAUUCCUUCAGGCAAGAGCCCACUGGGGGAUUUAAAUGCUGAAACUUGGGCAGCAAUGGUAUUGAUCUGGGUCCACUCCCCCUUUUCAAUUUCAAAUUUACUUAAUUGGAAGAAUAAUAUGCCAAUUUACAGAGAUGACCCAAAGGGAAUGGAAAACCUUUUUUUCUUCAGUUUCUUGCAGCCCACAACCCAACCUGGGCAGCUGAUUGAGUUUAUUAAAUAUCCUUAUUUCACAAGACUGUCGGAUGGUGCUGGAUAAAGCCAGGGAGGAGGCAGGUGGGCUUCAUGCAGAAACCCUGGCGGCCCGGUACAGGAUGCCAAAAGUGUAGCUGGACCAACAGUGGAUCCUAAUUGGAAUGUAAUGCUGGGGAGAGGCCAAACCUUGAACCCUAUCCAGGUCGCAUUCUUAAGGGAUUGUGAAGAAGGGCACCAGCACAAAGAAGCCUCAAUAAAGAACAGGAGGUAAAGAGAAACCAAAUGAAGAUCCUUCAGAAUUUCUAGAAAGGGUCGUUAGAGCACAUAGGCAUAUGCAGAUAUAGACCCUGAGGCCCCAGAGAAUUUAAAGAUGGUGAAUAUGACUUUCAUUGGUCAGAACUCCCCUGAUACACAGAGGAAAGUGCUAAAAGGUGGGAGGGGCUUUAGGAAUGCUGAUGUCUCAUCUUGUUGAAACUGCCUUCAAAAUUUUUAAUGGCAGAGACCAGACUCAGGAAAAAGGAUCAACAGAGAAUGAAACAGGCCACUCUGCUGGCAGCUGCCUUAACACAGGGGAGAGCUGGACCAAAUUGAGGACCCCUACGAGGGACUCAGCAAAAGGUACAGAGCAUUAGACUUAGAAUGGCAGUAAGGAGAAAUGGAAGGACUGUGAAAAUGAACUGCAACCCUAAGGAUAUUAGGGACCACCUCAGGAGCUGAAAAAUGAACAAACCUGGAAUGGGCAGAUUCCUUCACAUUCAUUUGACGUGGAAAUCAAAUCGUUUGGUUAGCAAGAAAAUUCCACCGUCAGCUGCUCAGAAUAUGUUGCUGAUUUUAUCCUCUGCAUCUUCAAGGUUUGGACCAAAUAUAAGUCCCUCGUCAAGAAUCUGUUGAUUCUAUCUUUCUGAUCAAUAGACAGUGGAAAGGAGAUUGUGUUGACGGUAGAAGCACAGACUACUGGGCUGUGGAGGUGCUGGUGAACUGAACGUGCCCCCCAGAUCUGAGGAAAGACCCUAAACAGAGAGACAGACAAGCGGGUGGUUCAUUCUUUCCACAACUACCUUAAGGUUGGGUCCUGUCUGUAACAGAUCUCUGCUAGAAGGUCCAUAUAACACACAGCUCUACUAGACAGGAGAAACUCACAGAAGAAACAGAGGCUGCCUCUUUGGAUACCAUGGACCUCAUGCCUGAGCGUAUUUGUUUAGUUUCUGCAGAAGUUUUGUGGAGAAACGUGGAGUAUGCUUUAUGUGACUGCAACACAGAACCUGGGCUCUCAAACGUUUAUGUGCGUCAGAAUCACCCAGAGGGCUUGUUAACGCACUGAUUGUGGGCCCACCCCUAGCCUUUCUGAUUCGGGACAUCGGAGUGGGAGUUGUGCAUCUGUCUAAGUUCCAGCGUGAUGCUGAGGCUACCCAUUGGAUACUGCCCCUCGAGCCCCACAGUCUAAUUCCUCACUUGAUUAGUUUCCGAGCUCUCUGAGGGCUGGCUUCUUUUCUCCUCCGGGGCUCUCAUGGGGUUGUGCAGCAAAUGAUUGAGAGUGAGUGAGUGAGGAAGCCAAGACACAGAGGGACAAAACGGCAGGCCCGAGUUGGGUACUUCUCUUUGUUUAGCCAGGCCAAAGUGGGGAACUAUUAAGGAGGUAAGAGUGGCCAGAGAGAUCUAUCAUUGUAAAUAUGAAAGGUACCAAAUUAUAGUUUACAACUAAUUAGAACUUGCACGAGUCGUUUAGAAAACCACUCCAAAGGAUGCUUUAGAAAUUUUCUUUAUCCUUUUUUCUGACUGCUGUGGCAAAAGUACUUAAUGGAAUUACCUUUACAAAUACAUUAAUUUAUUCUACCCUGAGGAUAUUAUAUUCAAUGAUUUGACAAAACUAAUCUGAGCUAAUAACAGACACACGUUUACUGAGACUAAGCACAUUUUCCAGUAGAGAGAUACCUAGCCAUUUGGAACAAAUGACAGUUGAGGUAUAAAGAUGAAAGAAUGGCUGUAAUGCCCAAAGGAGGUACCAGGGUGACUAAAACGCAAAGGUAAAAUGUGAGCCGACAAAGAAAACUCACAGGGGGCAAAAGGCCCACCACAACCGCUACCAGGAAAUUUUCAACCACUGACAGAUGCUCAGGUUCAAGAGGUCUGUCUCCAAAGGAUGCAUCAGCAAGAACCACACCUUCUCAGAGCACUUGGUUCCCUCCAGUGAAGUCAGGCAAUCACUGCCCUUAACUUCCAUUCUGCCAAUGAAUUACCCCAUGCAUACUGACCCUUAAAACAUUCUAAAUCUAUUCCACAGACCAGAGUUGAAAUCUCAAAGCCUAUAGGGAUCAAUAUAAGUAAGUGAAAUUAAGAGAAUAUAAGGUAGUAAUGGAAUUUGGUUAACCAAAUAGUCUACGUUCUGUUUAAAGGGGAAGCUCAGAUAAAUAAUGAGGUCCUACUGUAUAGCACAGGGAACUAUAUUCAAUACCUUGUAAUUGCCUAUAAUGAAAAAGAAAAAAAUAAAUACACAAUCACUAUGCUUUACCCCAGAAACACAACAUUGUAAAUCAACUAUAUUUCAAUUAAAAAAUAAAAAUAGUGCAGCUGAAAGAAAGAAAGCAAAUGUAGCAAAAUGUUAACAAUUAAAAAAAAUAAACGAGAAGCUCUUUCCCAGCUCCAGGAGAUUGUUUCACUGUGGAAGUGAUCCCAAUGUUACCAGCUCUCCCGAUGUUUUGAGAGGGAUCAGAGAUUGGAAUUUCACAUAAAGUUUCCUGACUGUUAAAACAGUGUGAUUCAAACAAAAUAUGUUUGCAGGUAGGAUGAGGCUGUCAGCCUUCCAUUUAGAACCUCUCCUUAGACUCUAGGAAAACAGGACAGGAAAGGACUUUCUAGUUACCUACUUCUGGGUAUGUCCUCUGUCCCUCUCACCCCCCUUGAAGAGCACUCCUUCUGUUUUAAAACUCUCUCAGGCUCAGAAUUCUUUCCCUAGUUCCUGAAGGACAAGCCAGGGAGAUCAUGUUUUCACCAGAAAGUCUUUGAUCACCCCAUAUGCUGAGAUACUGUCCAUUAGUGAUGUACUCGCCAUUGGUGGGGAGAGGGGUGGCUUGGUGUCACACAGUCUGAAGAUGACGAAACGGGUAGGCGCUUAGGUCCCCACACUCACCCUCACGUUCUCCUCACCCCUGUCAUUCCGUCUCUGGCUGCUGGAACAAUAUUCUGAAAAUGCAUGCAGGCUGUAAGAAAGAAGGUGCUUUGCCCAAUUACUUGGAGUAUGAAGACUAUCAAACCAGAGCUGGAGAAAACCAGAGCGUUGGGGGAAACAGAGCAAAACCAAACCAAACCCAAACUGAACCAAAGAAUUAAAAGGACUUGAAGAAAACUCUGCUUAAUUCUUCCAGGUCAGGUUCAAUUAAAGGACAGACAGCAGCCCUUGUACUAAUCCUGCAGGUCAGUGUGGUCUAAUGCUUCUAGUUCCUUCUCAUCCUCAUUUCUUAUUAAAGGAACAAGUGAGGAGAAGUGCAGGGGAUUGGGUAGACUUUUCUUGAGGGCUUAUUUUUCUAUUCAUUUACUGAAUCAAUAUUAACUUAUAUCUGUAAUGCAUGGAGCUUACAGUCUAUCAAGUGAGACAAUUAAAAAGCAACUUCAAAAAAGCAGACAAAUAAAAAAGCCAAUAAAUUAAAACAUGGAUUAUAAAAGUAUAAUCUGGCAAAUAAAAGUAUAAUCUGGAAAAUAAUCUGGAUAAUGCAAAUAAUUAUAGAGGAAAAUCACUUCACUCACAUGUAUAUGUUGUAUAUUUUGUGUUCAUACUCCCUACGUAGGGUAGAAGGAGAGGUGACGUCCUUUUUUGGAGGGAUUCCAACAGGGAGAGGCUACUAUGUUCACUAUAAGUCCCACGUAGGCAGUGGAGGGGUAGCUCUGGUGGUCCACUUUGUGCACUGACAGGGAGUGACAAACCCCAAGGUCCUGUGUACCUAGUGAUGCUGGGACCCUCUUCUGCCCUAGUGGAUUCCUGGAGCAGCUCUGAGUUCCCAGAGGAAAGAGAAACUCCAGGUACUGGUGGAAGUUGCAGCAAAAAUGUAAUUAUCCCACGGAAAGUGAUAUAUUUAGCAACUGAGCAAGAAAACCUGGGUGUCGUAGCUGGCAGCUGAAUCAAUGUUCAUUUCCAACAUCUUUCGGGAAGAUAACCUGCUGGCAAAGGAUCCAAGUUUAAACCUACUCUUUUCCCAUCCCCACCUCUGCCCCUGUGCUGUAGAGCAAGAGAACCCUGGACAGUCGGCUUGUAACACAACAGGACAGAUCAGGAAAGGUACGCAAGCAGCUCAGACUCUGGGAGAAAGCUCAGGCAGAGACUGGAGCAAACAGAGUCUUGGGUUGGUAUUUCAAAGAGGCGCUUGUUUUACUAAACAUCCUCAGAUCUGCUUCCUUGAAAAUCACUGAAUAAUGACUAUACUCAAAGUAAACUUCCAGAAAGUUCAUCAGAAGGCUCUGGGCCUGAGCCUGGACAUCACAUGUGUUUAUUGUGUGUGAGUGGCCAAGGCUCAUCCACUGUCUUCCUUCCUAUGGAUUCAGACAUUCACAGAGUCUUCUGUUCGACUGACAAAGUCCUGAGUUAAAAGGCUUUCAGAUAAUCAUAUGUCAGUAGUUUUGAAAUCUUUUUCAACCUCCCUUUUGAAA